This 35-nucleotide non-coding RNA is filed under the name unclassified sequences. Its description in RNAcentral is "DUF805b RNA". It matches the Rfam family "DUF805b RNA". From Rfam's summary of the family: Bacteroidetes, Chlorobi (1 example), Proteobacteria. The record is from RNAcentral.
CACGCGAAAACCGAAAAGCGAAAACAGAGUAGGCA